AUUGAACGCUGGCGGCGUGCCUAAUACAUGCAAGUCGAGCGAACAGAUAAGGAGCUUGCUCCUUUGACGUUAGCGGCGGACGGGUGAGUAACACGUGGGUAACCUACCUAUAAGACUGGGAUAACUUCGGGAAACCGGAGCUAAUACCGGAUAACAUUUGGAACCGCAUGGUUCUAAAGUGAAAGAUGGUUUUGCUAUCACUUAUAGAUGGACCCGCGCCGUAUUAGCUAGUUGGUAAGGUAACGGCUUACCAAGGCGACGAUACGUAGCCGACCUGAGAGGGUGAUCGGCCACACUGGAACUGAGACACGGUCCAGACUCCUACGGGAGGCAGCAGUAGGGAAUCUUCCGCAAUGGGCGAAAGCCUGACGGAGCAACGCCGCGUGAGUGAUGAAGGGUUUCGGCUCGUAAAACUCUGUUAUUAGGGAAGAACAAACGUGUAAGUAACUGUGCACGUCUUGACGGUGCCUAAUCAGAAAGCCACGGCUAACUACGUG
Molecule: ribosomal RNA, 497 nt
Filed under: uncultured bacterium
Lineage: Bacteria
Description: partial 16S ribosomal RNA
Rfam family: Bacterial small subunit ribosomal RNA
Source: RNAcentral